UAGAAUAAAUAGAACACUACUCCAUAUGGAACAAUUAAUGCAAGUAGAACAACUACUUCAAAUAGAAUAACCACUUCACUUGGAUGACAGUAAAAGCAACUCGGAAUAAGUGGCAGGGUUCAUGGGUUACUUUCAUCUUGGGAUGUUCCAAAGAGUUUGGCUUGGUGGCUCGGAUAUGGAGGUAGUUAAGAGGUCUUCCUCUUAACCCUUUCUUGAAGUACAAGUGUUUCACCCUCUUACCUUGUUCUCGUAUACUUAUUCAUGUACAACUUAUUCUCUUGUACCUAUUCUCGUACAGCUUCUUCUCUUGUACCUAUUCUUGUACACCUCUUUUCUAUUACUUUUACUUGAGAACAAGUCUUACUACAUCCAAUUACAGUAACGGUUACUUACAUUAAUAUUCUUCAUAAUAAUGUCAUUCAUUAUGCGCAUUAAAGCAUAUUCUUAUGUAACCGUCACUUUUAGCACUAUAUAUAGAGCCUCACAAUUCAUUUGAAAUGACUCUUUUUUCCCUCUCCAAGCUAACACAUUCUCAACUUGAGAGCUUCUCUCUCUAAAUUCUUUCUCUAAUUAUCUUGUACUCUCUAAGUCUCUUUAAGUCUCUUUUUAUUGUCUUCCACCUGCUACAGCACUUAGUACUUUAGGAACUGCUUCAAUCUUCCUCUCUACUGCCUCUAGCACAUCCUUUUACUUGUUUGCAACGCUUCCUCUCCCUAUCACAAGAACCCCCUUUACAUUUUGGCAACUCUGCUAGGGAUGAGUGAUUGCAUUAGGUAAAAGUUUACUAGAAAAACUUUUAAGUUAUUGAAAAAGAUGGAGAGUUCCACUGGCUUACUCACUUCGAUAGAAGGAAUACUCCAACAGUGAAUGCAAUUUAAGGAGGAGGUAGAGAAAGAAGAGAUCUUUUUCAAAAGGAAAUAUUCCACAAAGAAAUGCAAGCAGAAGAGUUAUUGAUUGAGAACAAUAGGGUCCAGAACAACCCGCUUCCUGCUCAUGUAUGAUAUUACGAUGACCUUGACUCUUCAUUGCUUUAUGAAUUGCAAUUUGACGUUAAAAAAAAAAAUUUCAUAUUCAGCCGCUAGCUUUAUCGCUUAUAUUUUGGCUGUAAUUAUAUUAUACUAUUGGUCACAAGCUUUAUCGCUUAUUCUUUGACCAUAGUUCAUCAUUCUUACUUCAGCCGCAAGCUUUACCGCUCAUAUUUUGGCUGCAAUGAUGUUCUGCUUUUGGUCGCGAGCUUUAUCGCUUAUUCUUUGACCAUAAUUUAAUAUUCACAUUCCAGUCGCUAGCUUUAUCGCUCAUAAUUUGACUGUAAUGAUGUUAUGCUAUUGGCCGCUAGCUUUAUCGCUCAUUUCUUGGCCCUAGCUUAUUACUUACAAAUUGGUCGCAGCUCUUAUGCUUAUUUAUUUUAAGGGUUGAAUUAAUCUCCUUCAUAUCAAGUUAGAGUUAAUCUCCUUGAUGUAAAGUUGAGAGUUCCCUUUUGACCAUAUACAAUAUAAGAAAUGUGAAUAAAUACACGACAAGCGUAUAGCAUUAUUAUUAUUGCAAAAGAAAAGAAAUAUGAUAUGUCAAUAGCGAAGUACUAGCUCAAAUGAGCUUUCAAAAAUAGUAAAGGAAGGGCAAAGGACUAGUCAACUACAUACUCCAUAGAGAAGAGUUAUUAUUUGCAAAUACAUCUAAUUGUUCUUGUACUUCUGUAGACACUAUAAAAAUUAAAAUAAAAUUAAAAAAAAUCAUUAACUAAAAAUAAAUGAAAAAUAAACAAAAAAGAAAAAAUGAGAGAGAGGUACGACUGGUAGGGUGCGGACGCACCCUGCCAACCACCACCCUCACCCUGCCAGAUGUGAAAAAUUCGCGUCUGGCAAGGUAGUGGAAGCGUGCCCCCUUCAACCUAGUAUAAAGGGGGCACUGUAGCAACCAGGGGGGAGGAGCCACAACUUACAAACCAAAAAACCCUAAAAAAAUCCUAGCAACAAACAGAAAACCAAAAUCAAAAAUUCUAUUCUAGCAGCCAACCAACCAAUAAACCACAAUCAAUAGUCAAAAAUCAAUAAAAAAAUGCAAAAAAUAGGAGAAAUAGGAAGUGAUUUUUUAAAGUGUGGGUUUUGAUUUUUAGGGAGAGAUCUGGAUUUUUAGGAGGGAUUUUGGGUAAUCGGUGGAGUGUUUUUAGUUUUUGGUGGUUCAAAUCUGGUGAGAGAGACCUUUUUUUUUUUUACCGCCGGUUAAAAGAGAUAUUUUGGGGUUGGUGUUGCCGGCUAGAAAAUAGGGGGUGAUUUGGGUUGUUAUGGGAGAGCAGAUGUAGGCGGCCGAUGGUAGAAAGGUCCGAUUUGGCCGACGUCGGUGGGAAGGAAGAGAAAAGGAUCUGUCUUGAGAGCCGACAACUGUGAGGGACAAAGCCCAAUCGACCCUGGUUAGAGGAGAAAGAAGAGUCGGUCCGGGUAGCCAGCAACGUCGCCGGUUGGGGAGAGCCCACCAUUGGGGAGCGACACCGGCGUGAAGGUGAGAGGAGUUGAGAGAUUUAGGGAGAUCUGGUCUAAGCCGGUCAGUGGGGAGAAACGCUGGCGUGAGAGAGAGAGAGGAGAGGGUUCGGUGGAAGAGAGAGAAAAUGGGGGCAGAAAAUGAAAGCAUGAAUAAGGAAAAGGGUUUUUAUACUUAGGUAUAAACCAAAACGGCACCGUUUUGAAAAAAGGUUGCAACCAGAAACGACACCAUUUAGAGAGAGAAGGAACUGAGUCCUUGAAGUGGGUAGGCGGGCCGUCUCCCAAUCUGGGCUCUCUUUGAACAGGAUUCGGGCCGCAGAGAAGCAAGUGGACAAAAUUGAGUGGGUAUUGGGCCCAUAAAGGUAAACUCUUUGCCAUGCUAUUAAGGUCUGCAAUGAUUUGGGUUAGUUCAUUUUGUUAGCUUUCGGAUUUAUUAUUCAAUUAUUUAGGAUUAGGAUUGAAGUACUUUAAUAUAAUGUUUUUAAGAUUUUUAAGAGGUUAUUUUUCAAAUAAAGGGAACAAUAUAUAUAAGGGAAUAUAAAUAUAUAUAUAAUAUAAAAAAUAAAAAUAAAAAUAAAACUUGCAUAUUUAGUUAAGGAAAAUUUAAAUAUAGGAAAAUACUUGUUAAAAGUAUUUAAACUUAGGAAAGUGAAGUCCAUAUAAAAAAUAAUAUAUAAUAAAAUAAUAAUAAAAUAAAUAAUAAAUAAACAAAUAUAAAUGAUAUAAAAUAUCAGAGUAUUAAUUACGAGUGUAAUGAACCAAUGAUGGGAUGGUCGGUCGGGACGCGAGAAGUCGCAAUCCCAGGCCCAUUUUCCCUAAGUUCGGGGAUCUGAAUUAAGGCUCCACCAGUAAGAUGGGAGAGCCUCGAUUUCGAGAUCUCAAAAUUUUUUAUAAAAAUAAANNNNNNNNNNNNNNNNNNNNNNNNNNNNNNNNNNNNNNNNNNNNNNNNNNNNNNNNNNNNNNNNNNNNNNNNNNNNNNNNNNNNNNNNNNNNNNNNNNNNNNNNNNNNNNNNNNNNNNNNNNNNNNNNNNNNNNNNNNNNNNNNNNNNNNNNNNNNNNNNNNNNNNNNNNNNNNNNNNNNNNNNNNNNNNNNNNNNNNNNNNNNNNNNNNNNNNNNNNNNNNNNNNNNNNNNNNNNNNNNNNNNNNNNNNNNNNNNNNNNNNNNNNNNNNNNNNNNNNNNNNNNNNNNNNNNNNNNNNNNNNNNNNNNNNNNNNNNNNNNNNNNNNNNNNNNNNNNNNNNNNNNNNNNNNNNNNNNNNNNNNNNNNNNNNNNNNNNNNNNNNNNNNNNNNNNNNNNNNNNNNNNNNNNNNNNNNNNNNNNNNNNNNNNNNNNNNNNNNNNNNNNNNNUUAGAAUAAAAAUGUAAGGUAUAAAAAAUAAUAAGGAAUAAAAUAAAAAAUAUAAUAAUAAAAAAUAUAAUAAAAUAAAAAUAAUAAUUAAAUAAUAAUAAAUAAAAAAUAGAUAAUUGCAUUAGCAUAGCAUAUAUAUAUAUAUAUUGCAUCAUGCAUAUCAUUGUAUAUAAAUAUUUCUGUUUUCGAGUUUAAGCCCCGAUGAUGGGAUCUUCCGAGGAUCUUGCGAAGGCGGGUAUUUCUCGAAAAGUUUUCUAGGUGAAAAGAUGUCAUCGGGUCCCACUAGUAUGAUGGGAGGGCUCGAGAAACAUCUUUAAUAAAAGGCUUUGCCCGAAUUAGGUUCAUCAUGCACGAAAAUAUAAUUUAAAAAAAAAACGUACGAUGACCCCGAUGACAGGAUUUAUUCGUUUGCGAAGGCGAAUUUAUCGAAUAAUUCCCUAGGUGAGAGAAUACCCUAGAUCCCACCAAUAUGAUGGGCGGAUCUGGGAGAAUAUCCUCAAUAAAAGGCUAUUCGUCUAACAUAUUUUUAUCCCACGCCAUGCAUUUCAUCUUGCCUCACAUUUGCAUUCCAUUUCAGGUUAAAUAAGAGAUAAAAUAAGAGAAUAAUAACUAAAAAAAUAUAGUGAAAUUAAAAAUUAAAGCCUAAUAAGAUAAUCUAAAAAUGGUACCGUUCAUGGAACGGGCCUCCCGAGGGUGCUAAUCCUUCCCCGAGCGUAACUGUACUCCCGAACUUAGAUCUAGAAAAACGUAGACUAAUUUAGGGUUCUUUUCGGUGGGCUUAAAAUUAAUUUAAGGCUUCAUCGAUUAGAAUCGAGUCAAUAGGUGGCCAAUCGCACCUAGUAAAAAAAAUUGGUGGCGACUCCUAGUUUUUUAGAGUUUUCACUAGCGUUUGGCAAUCUGGUUCCCGGACCCGCACGUUACAACAACUUCAGCUUCACAUUUUUUCAGUAAAGCUAUCUUCGCUACAAUGUCUUCUAACUCAUUUUCCAAGGAAGACUUGUUGAGAAAUAUCUUGGCUUUGGAUCUACAAUCACGGAGGCACUCAAGCUUGAAUCCAAAGUUACAAGCAUCAUCGAAAUCCUGUAACAUCUUUUGCAAUUCCUCUAGUGAAGUACUCAUUAGUGGAGCAUGAGAAAUGGCUAAAGCUCUACCCAACACUUCUAUCAUUAAGCAAAUGACGUCUACGUUCUUUACAAAUGAGGUACUCCAAAACUCUCUCUCUAUAUUGAAAACAUGCUCCAAGUAUGCCACAUACUCCAAUGAAACUUGAAAGCCAUGGAAGUCAACUUUCUUACCACUUUGUUCAGUGUGUGCUACUUGAGUGCCAGAAGCACUACUUGCAUCUUUGUGUUAUGGCACUAGGGAAGACGAAGCACGAGGAGUCAUUGAAAUAGCUCUAACAUCAUCAGUAUUAACUCCAACGUCAUGAAUAACCUCAAGAUUUGGGGUAGCCUCAAGAACAACUUCAACAGCAGGAAUAGUCUCAGUGUUAGGAACAACCUCAUCUUGAGUAGCCUGCGGAGUAAGAACAAUCUUAAUUCAAAAAAAAAAAACGGAACAACAUCAAUCGAAGUAACAUAAUAAUAUGUUUAUACUUGGCUCAUGGUAGAAUUCUAAACAUGAUUUGGAAAUAAAACAUCCAAAUCAAUGAAAUCAUCAAAAGGGAUUGGCUCACCCUCAACUUCAGCUUUAUCAACAUCAACCGAUUCAUCAUCAGAUUCAUCACUACGUUCAGAGUCACAUGAUUCUUCCUCAGUCUCAGCUUCAAAAGUCUCUUCCUCUUCAAUCGAGUUAAAGUUCUACUCUUGCAGUUGUUUCUCUCUACAAAAAAAAAAGUAUGAUGAGGAAAUGAAUUUAAAACAAAAAAAAGAAGUAGAAGAAGAAGUAAAAGAUAAACUUACUUUUCGAUGCACAUGUUUUGUUUGAUGAGUAAAAGCGCGAGGAGCAUCAUCUUCUUCUUCAUUUACAUUUCUUUUCUUUUUGAGAGAAAUCAAGCGUAAGGAUACAUUGGAGUUACUUAUAGGAGGAGUGUAGAGACAAGCCCUGGGAUUAGUCAAAGGCAUAAUAAAAUAUCUUCAUUCUUCAACACACUCCAUCCAAUAAGCAAACCAUCAAGAAGUGUGAGUACCAACUCUAUCAAAAGCUAGGACAGUACAACUCUUAAGUUUAUCUAAACGGAGUUGAAGUCCUGCCAUGAGGAAUAAAGAAACGCAAGAAGAAAAACUUAUAGUUGAAGAAGAGUCAGGCAGAGCUGGUUGAUCAAACCCAAAUUGACAUGCCACUCUAAAAGAAAAAUAUAUCUCAACAGAAAGAAUAUUUCUAUCUCCACUUGAAUUGGAACUCUCAAUCAUAAAUGGCAAUUGGGAACUGUGAACCCAUACACAAAAGUUAAUACCUUGUGAACUCAUUCUUCUAAACUGUAGAGGGUAGCGAUCAUAAUAAAUUCCAGGAUCAUUGAAUCCAUUUAUGGGCUGCACUUAAGGUCUGGGAUUGAAUUCUUUUGUCACAUCCAUCACUUCAAGAACAUUACCUCUCGAGAGUCGAUCAUGCCUUGCCCAAGCUCUGUAGUUAUUCCUGGAUAAAGGGUUAUUCACAGAAAAAGAUGCAAAAGGAUAUGCAUUAGGCACAGGAGCGCAAGUACCAAACUUUUCCCAUAGGCACAUCUGAAUGAAGGAAACGUCCACAUAAGUCAAAACCUUGUAACGCCCAGCUGAUUCAACAGUUUUGAGUUGGUACAAGUCUAAUCUCUUAUAUAAGGAGCUUAAAUAUAGUGGAGCUUAAAUAUAGUGGAGCAAGAGGAAAAUGUAUUCCCUUAACAAUUUUUAUUGCUAAAGGAACAACUGCUAAAGAGAUACCAUCAUCUGGACACCUUGGGAGUACGUGUCGUGCCAAACAAAAAAUUGUUAAAGCUACUAGCUCAUACUUAUGGUUUGGGUAUUCAGGAGAACCGAUCUCAAUACCCUUAGCAUUGAACUUUUUAUAAAAAACUCUUAUCUAAUUAGAAAAUUGUGCAGCCUUCGAAGUUUUACUCAAACUCUUAAGUAGAUCGAAAAAAAAGUCUCGAGUACAUACCUCUUCUUCAGAAAGCUUAAUAGAGUGAAAAUCAUCCUUUCCUAUACAAGGAAGUUCCAAGAGAACACAUACAUCUUUCAGAGUGAAGGUAAAUUCCCCUCAUGCAGUAAUCAUAGUAUGAGAAAACGUGCUCCACCUCGCAAGAAUAGCACGCCACACAUUUAUUCUUUUUUCUCUACGAAUAUUGAGCUUGGAAGUGAUACGUAUAGCAUCAAGUAUCCUAGCAGAAGAGAGAAGUUUAACAUAAGAAGAAUUCUUCAACACCUUAGUUACCCAUUCAUCCCAACCAUAAACAAAUUGAGAAUUGGAGCCUAACUUAGUAGCAGAAAAGGGAAACUCACCACGUUCAAACCUGAAUUUCAGAAUAGAUGGUCUUGGAAUACCACUUCUUCUAUGAGGAGGUGCUUCUGAGCAUAAACGAUUCCAAUCAUAUCCAACAGACUCAGAGGGAUGUUCGUCAACUUGUUUGGCACGAGCCUCUUCCCAAAAACGAUAUUUUCCUCUUUCUUUAAUAAUUUCAUCUUCCCAAUUUUCAGAAACAAUAGGAACUUCACCACUCUUUUCUACUAUAAUUUUCUUGGGAGCAAUUAAUUUGGAAUCACUAUUCUUCUUUUUAUGUGUAGUGGUUUUUUUCCUUGUUGCAGCCCUUCCAGACUCACCAUAAUUGAUCUUCGAAGGGACACGCGUCCUAGGUAUAGAGGAUGAUGAAAAAAAUUGCCUACAAACAUGAUCAUGGAAAAAGAGAUAAGUAUACAUACUCAAUAAUUUUUUAUUUUUACUUAUUUAUUAUGCAUUAAAAAAUCACAAAUAAAACUUAUCAAAAUUAUAGAUUUUGAUAUUAUUAUUUUAAUAUUCAAAAACAAACAGAAAUCAUACCUGUCGUGCAACGAGCCAAGUAAAUAAAGGAUUGAAACAAAGUUAGAGUAACAUAAAUAUUCUUGCUUUGUGAUUUUCUUCUAUAAUUAAAAUAUUUCAUGCAUAAAUUUUUUUCUCAUAUUUUAAUUAAAAAAAAUUUCAUGUAAGGGCAACAAGUAAGAAAAAUUCAACUAAUUAAGUCAAUUGAUUGAAAACAAAAUUAAAAUAUAUAUAUAUAAAUAAGAAAAAAAAAACAAACUUACUUGAAAAUAUUCGCAAAAGAAUCGACUUUACUCUAAAAUUUGUUUUGCUUUACUUUUAAUAUGAAUGAAGAAAAUUGUUCAUAGUCACUUGAUAUUUAUAAGCCACAUUGAAUCAAGGUUUUUAUGGAAAAUAUAUUAAAUAUUAUUACAUAAUCAAUAAAAUAUUACGAAUAGAAUCAAGGUUUUUUAUGAAAAAGAUAUUAAAUAUUAUUGCAUAAUCAAUAAAAUAUUACAAAAGAUAUUGAAAUUAAAAAAAUACAAUCAAAUAUUAUGAAAGACAUUAAAUAUUAUUGCAUAAUCAAUCAAAUAUUACAAAAAGAUAUUGACAUUACAAAAAAAAAAAAUAGUAUUACACCUUACACAAGAUAGUAACAUGUUACUAUCUAAAGUAUUACUGGCUAAGGUGUUACUGUCUAAAACAAUACUGCCCAAAGCAUUACUGCUUAAAAUGAUACAGUACAAAAAAAAAUUUGCUUUAAAUUAAUACAUAAGAAUUAUUUUUAACAAUAAAUUCUUAUGCAGGGGGCAAAAUGUAGAUACUAGAUUUUGGUUAAUACUGUUACUCUAAAGAAUUAUGUUACAAUAUAAUGUUGUACAGAGAACAACCAGAACAAGUGAAGUGCUACUUCACGCAGAAUAAGUAAAACAAGUGAAGUGCUACUUCACGUAAAAUAAGUAGAACAAGUGAAGCGCUACUUCACGCAAAACAACUAGAACAAGUGAAGUGCUACUUAACGCAGAAUAACUAGAAUAAAUAGAACACUACUUCAUAUGGAAUAAUUAAUGCAAGUAUAACAACUACUUCGAAUAGAAUAACCACUUCACUUGGAUGACAGUGAAAGCAACUCGGAAUAAGUGGCAGGUUCAUGGGUUACUUUCAUCUUGGGAUGUUCUAGAAAGUUUGGCUUGGUGGCUCAGAUAUGGAGGUAGUUAAGAGGUCUUCCUCU
Molecule: long non-coding RNA, 8962 nt
Filed under: Theobroma cacao (cacao)
Lineage: Eukaryota; Viridiplantae; Streptophyta; Magnoliopsida; Malvales; Malvaceae
Description: long non-coding RNA (TCAC_LNC000863)
Source: RNAcentral